Daphnia magna is the source of this 763-nucleotide long non-coding RNA. RefSeq lists it as uncharacterized. The record is from RefSeq and is a predicted model, not a curated record. The transcript has 4 exons. Lineage: Eukaryota; Metazoa; Arthropoda; Branchiopoda; Diplostraca; Daphniidae.
CCAAAAAACGGGUGAAUCGUUCAGGAAAUUCUUCUAUUGUUUAUUCAAUAAAAACUCUGUAAUUAAUCAAUUUGAAAUGCAGGAAAAACCGUAACUGCUCACACCACAUACCACACCCUAAACAAAAGACAUUUAUAGAUUCUAAAUUCGGCAUCCGGUAUUGAUCCAUACUCCAUACCAUAGUUCAAUAGCUUUCCCCUUAAAUGGGACCAUGUAUACAUCGUGUAUUUUGGAAGUUGGAACGUCGAAUGUGGAACAGUUUGGCGUGGAAAUCAAAGUGGAAUUGAGCGGAGUCAUCCACCGUAGAAUUUGCCUCCAGGCAGGGUAAUGGAAGGGAAACGAGGAAUUCAAUUGUAACAAAUAUGAAAACUUUUCCAGUUCUACUUUCGCGAUAUUCAUUUAACUCUUGGCAGCGGUUAUUGCCAGAAACGGACGUCAUAAGACCCUAUAAAAAUACUGCCUACAAGUUUUUUCCUGUUCCUACAAGGAUUAGAGUAAAAGAUCAACUCUUCAUCUGGGAGAAGAUGGCUUUCUCUUAAAUUUCAAAAGUUCCCCCCAAAUACUAUACAUUUUGCUAUUUCAACCGACCUCCACCAGAAGAUGACUCUUUUACAUACACAUACACUAGCCACCCCGAUUUAUCUGACCUUUAAUGAUUACAAUUAAGAAGAAUGUGAGUGUGUGAACUGUGGGCGGAUGAGACGGUAUACAUCUGGCCACCGCAUUGGAUUUAAUGAUGAAUAAAAGCAUGUCGUGACAACCA